AGUGCCUGGGGGGAGGAGGAGGGUCAGGGUGAGGAGCUUCCCAUUUCAGCCUCUGGCACCAACUUCUCCGUUGAGACCGGGCAGACGGGGAAGAGAGAUAAGAAAAAAAUGCCAGGGCUCCGGUUGUACACAGAAGCUUUUCUAAAGCAGUUGGAGCUGCAGAGAAAGGCUCUUCACACGCUGGAGCUGGAGGAAACCUCGAGAUCACAGCCGGGGAGUCACAUGCUGGGGCCUCGAUGAGCCCCCAACAGGGAAAAUUAUCCGUCCAAGGCCACGCCCACCAGCAUGCCAUUCCUGCCAGGCCUGUCUCUGACCUGCCUCCGUAAAUAAAAGCCUGUAAGGGA
This is a long non-coding RNA of Cervus elaphus (red deer), 344 nucleotides long. RefSeq lists it as uncharacterized. The record is from RefSeq and is a predicted model, not a curated record. Lineage: Eukaryota; Metazoa; Chordata; Mammalia; Artiodactyla; Cervidae. The transcript has 2 exons.